CCUACGGGGGGCAGCAGUGGGGAAUAUUGGACAAUGGGCGAAAGCCUGAUCCAGCCAUGCCGCGUGUGUGAAGAAGGCCUUCGGGUUGUAAAGCACUUUCAGUGGGGAAGAAAGCCUUGGGGCUAAUACCCUCGAGGAAGGACAUCACCCACAGAAGAAGCACCGGCUAACUCCGUGCCAGCAGCCGCGGUAAUACGGAGGGUGCGAGCGUUAAUCGGAAUUACUGGGCGUAAAGCGCGCGUAGGCGGUCUGAUAAGCCGGUUGUGAAAGCCCCGGGCUCAACCUGGGAACGGCAUCCGGAACUGUCAGGCUAGAGUGCAGGAGAGGAAGGUAGAAUUCCCGGUGUAGCGGUGAAAUGCGUAGAGAUCGGGAGGAAUACCAGUGGCGAAGGCGGCCUUCUGGACUGACACUGACGCUGAGGUGCGAAAGCGUGGGUAGCAAACAGGAUUAGAUACCCUAUAGUC
This 464-nucleotide ribosomal RNA is filed under the name Vreelandella stevensii. RNAcentral's name for it is "partial 16S ribosomal RNA". It matches the Rfam family "Bacterial small subunit ribosomal RNA", at positions 338 to 795 of the family's 1533-position model. Lineage: Bacteria; Pseudomonadati; Pseudomonadota; Gammaproteobacteria; Oceanospirillales; Halomonadaceae. The record is from RNAcentral.